GACCAUCCUCCUGGUUUGCCUGGGACUGAGUGGUUUCCUGGGUCUGUGGGACUUCCAGUGCUUAAACUGGGCAGGU
This is a microRNA precursor of Bos indicus x Bos taurus (hybrid cattle), 76 nucleotides long. The record is from Ensembl. NCBI's taxonomy places the organism in Eukaryota, Metazoa, Chordata, Mammalia, Artiodactyla, Bovidae.